GACGUAGGGCGCGAGCGUUGUCCGGAUUUAUUGGGCGUAAAGAGCGUGUAGGCGGCCAGGUAGGUCAGCUGUGAAAACUCGAGGCUCAACCUCGAGAUGUCGGCUGAAACCAUCUGGCUAGAGUCCGGAAGAGGAGAAUGGAAUUCCCGGUGUAGCGGUGAAAUGCGCAGAUAUCGGGAAGAACACCCGUGGCGAAGGCGGUUCUCUGGGACGGUACUGACGCUGAGGCGCGAAAGCGUGGGGAGCAAACAGG
RNAcentral lists this ribosomal RNA (253 nucleotides) under uncultured bacterium. Its description in RNAcentral is "partial 16S ribosomal RNA". It matches the Rfam family "Bacterial small subunit ribosomal RNA", at positions 524 to 776 of the family's 1533-position model. The record is from RNAcentral.